Molecule: ribosomal RNA, 486 nt
Filed under: uncultured soil bacterium
Lineage: Bacteria
Description: bacterial SSU rRNA
Rfam family: Bacterial small subunit ribosomal RNA
Source: RNAcentral
AGAUUGAACGCUGGCGGCAGGCCUAACACAUGCAAGUCGAGCGGCAGCACGGGUACUUGUAUCUGGUGGCGAGCGGCGGACGGGUGAGUAAUGCCUAGGAAUCUGCCUGGUAGUGGGGGAUAACGCUCGGAAACGGACGCUAAUACCGCAUACGUCCUACGGGAGAAAGCAGGGGACCUUCGGGCCUUGCGCUAUCAGAUGAGCCUAGGUCGGAUUAGCUAGUUGGUGGGGUAAUGGCUCACCAAGGCGACGAUCCGUAACUGGUCUGAGAGGAUGAUCAGUCACACUGGAACUGAGACACGGUCCAGACUCCUACGGGAGGCAGCAGUGGGGAAUAUUGGACAAUGGGCGAAAGCCUGAUCCAGCCAUGCCGCGUGUGUGAAGAAGGUCUUCGGAUUGUAAAGCACUUUAAGUUGGAGGAAGGCAGUUACCUAAUACGUAUCUGUUUUGACGUUACCGACAGAAUAAGCACCGGCUAACUCUGUG